RNAcentral lists this ribosomal RNA (505 nucleotides) under Pandoraea sp. Phen16. RNAcentral's name for it is "bacterial SSU rRNA". It matches the Rfam family "Bacterial small subunit ribosomal RNA", at positions 1 to 506 of the family's 1533-position model. Lineage: Bacteria; Pseudomonadati; Pseudomonadota; Betaproteobacteria; Burkholderiales; Burkholderiaceae. The record is from RNAcentral.
UACAUAUAGUUUGAUCAUGGCUCAGAUUGAACGCUGGAGGCAUGCCUUACACAUGCAAGUCGAACGCCAGCACGGGUGCUUGCACCUGGUGGCGAGUGGCGAACGGGUGAGUAAUACAUCGGAACGUACCUUGUAGUGGGGGAUAGCUCGGGGAAAGCCGGAUUAAUACCGCAUACGCUCUAAGGAGGAAAGCGGGGGACCUUCGGGCCUCGCGCUACAAGAUCGGCCGAUGUCAGAUUAGCUAGUUGGUGAGGUAAAAGCUCACCAAGGCGACGAUCUGUAGCUGGUCUGAGAGGACGACCAGCCACACUGGGACUGAGACACGGCCCAGACUCCUACGGGAGGCAGCAGUGGGGAAUUUUGGACAAUGGGCGAAAGCCUGAUCCAGCAAUGCCGCGUGUGUGAAGAAGGCCUUCGGGUUGUAAAGCCCUUUUGUCCGGAAAGAAAUCCUCGCUUUAAUACCUUUUCGGAGACGGUACCCGAAGAAUAGCACGGCUGCUCCGGC